Saccoglossus kowalevskii is the source of this 509-nucleotide long non-coding RNA. The record is from RefSeq and is a predicted model, not a curated record. Lineage: Eukaryota; Metazoa; Hemichordata; Enteropneusta; Harrimaniidae.
CAUACAUAAAAUGACCAGUAUUUUUGUUCAUGUCUUUAAAUAUAAUGGCCCAGAAAACAGCCUCAAUAUACGUGUGGGAAUUUAUUUUUCCCAAGUUUCACUGGCGCUUCCAAGUACACUUAAAUGAAAUUUCGCGAAUAUUGCCUCGAUCCCCAGUGAAAUUUCAUAGUAAUGCUGAUGCCAGUGACUGCUGGUGGACUGAAUAACCUGCGGAGUAUUUAGAUGGUGUUGAAUCAUAGGACGAUUGCAGUACUGCAACUGGCACAUCAAGAUAAUGACAAUUUAAAAAAAGGAAAUACUAUAUAAAUGGAACGUAAGAAGUUGAAGAACCAGAAUUUAUGGACGUUAAGGGAAAAAAAAAGUUUAACCAGUAUUGAUGGAUGCAAUGGUUUAGCAUUUGCAUGUUUAUCAGUUUUACAUUUGCACACAGAUUUUGAAAGUUCCAAGUGUGUAGAGUUACUGUACAUUCCUUUUUUUAUGUUUUCCCUCAAAUAAAAGUGACAUCUUUC